AUGACAGAUCAGGUCUUUGUGACACUGACCACAAAUGAUGCCUACACCAAAGGUGCCCUGGUCCUGGGCUCAUCUCUGAAACAGCACAGGACCACCAGAAGACUAGUCAUGCUCGCCACCCCGCAGGUCUCAGACUCCAUGAGAAAAGUUUUAGAGACAGUCUUUGAUGAAAUCAUCGUGGUAGAUGUCUUGGACAGUGGUGAUUCUGCUCAUCUAACCUUAAUGAAGAGGCCAGAGUUGGGUGUCAGGCUGACAAAGCUCCACUGCUGGUCACUUACAUAGUAUUCAAAAUGUGUAUUCAUGGGUGCAGAUACUCUGGUCCUAGCAAAUAUUGAUGAUCUUUUUGAGACAGAAGAAUUGUCAGCAGCACCUGACCCAGGGUGGCCUGACUGCUUCAAUUCUGAAUUUAUCAGCCUUCAGUUGAAACAUAUAAUCAGCUGUUGCAUCUUGCUUCUGAGCAAGGUAGUUUUGAUGGUGGAGAACAAGGCAUACGGAACACAUUUUUUCGCAGCUGGGCAACAACAGAUAUCAGAAAACACCUGCCAUUUAUUUAUAGCCUAAGCUGCAUCUCUAUAUAGUCCUACCUCCCAGCAUUUAAAGUGUUUGGUGCAAGUGCCAAAGUUGUGCAUUUCCUGGGACAAGUCAAACCAUGGAAUUAUACUUAUGAUCCCAAAACAAAAAGUGUCAAAAAUGAGUCCCACCAUCCCAACGUGACUCAUCCAGAGUUUCUCAUCCUAUGGUGGAACAUCUUUACCACCACCGUUUUACCUCUGCUUCAACAAUUUGGCCUUGUCAAAGACACCUUCUCAUACGUAAAUGUGGAAAAUGUCUCAGGAGCCAUAUCACAUCUGUCCCUUGGGGGGAUCCCAGCUAUGGCACAGUCUGUGUAUCCUCAGAAGAAUGGAAGGAGCGGUGGGAACAGGGCUAGACCGAUUAUAUGGGAGCAGAUUCCUUUGACAACAUCAAGAGGAAGCUUGACACUUACCUCCAGUAG
Molecule: long non-coding RNA, 994 nt
Filed under: Homo sapiens (human)
Lineage: Eukaryota; Metazoa; Chordata; Mammalia; Primates; Hominidae
Description: non-protein coding lnc-PCSK9-7:1
Source: RNAcentral